Coregonus clupeaformis (lake whitefish) is the source of this 97-nucleotide small nucleolar RNA. RefSeq annotates it as small nucleolar RNA SNORD16. The transcript has a single exon. NCBI's taxonomy places the organism in Eukaryota, Metazoa, Chordata, Actinopteri, Salmoniformes, Salmonidae. The record is from RefSeq and is a predicted model, not a curated record.
UGUUAUGAUGGUGUAAUUUGCGUCUGACACUGCAGUGACGGUUUGCCGUCUGUCUUAUAACUGGCACUGUGGGUUGACAAAACAAAAGUUCUGAUAA